Molecule: long non-coding RNA, 532 nt
Organism: Patiria miniata (bat star)
Lineage: Eukaryota; Metazoa; Echinodermata; Asteroidea; Valvatida; Asterinidae
Exons: 2
Source: RefSeq, a predicted model, not a curated record
AUUGUGUUUUCCAGUACAUGUAGUUCCAAAGGUUAGAGUGUGUAGUACAAAUAGCUGAUGAUUCAUAUGAUUAGAUCCAGAAGCUUUUCUUUUGUGUGUGUAUAACUUGUGUUAUGAUGUAUAAUUGAAAACCCUAAACCACCAGUGGAAGUCAACUUAAAGGGGCACUCACAUUCUCCCUUAUUUUUUGUAUGAUUUAGGUAAAUGCCAUUUUGGGGUUGGUUGUGACAUUUAAGGGGUCGGGAUGUUGGGUCAGAAUGUUUCGUUUGUGUAAUAUGCUAAUUAGGUUAACUUUUUGUGUAUCUGUAUUCUUCGUCAAGAGAGGGCGCUAUUGCACACCACCCUGAAACAAGUCAGUUGGGUUAAAACGUUUAGAUAACGUCAAACUUUUCAUGUCAACGUCACUUUUCGUCACGCAAUUUGUUGUUUUGGACAGCCCAAAGUCAUUAAACCGUGUUACGUGUUACGUGCUUCAUGCUUCAUGUUUCGUGUCUACGUGAUUAAAGAUGCGAGUAUACUGUUGCUGAUACAU